RNAcentral lists this ribosomal RNA (301 nucleotides) under uncultured bacterium. RNAcentral's name for it is "partial 16S ribosomal RNA". It matches the Rfam family "Bacterial small subunit ribosomal RNA", at positions 509 to 807 of the family's 1533-position model. The record is from RNAcentral.
CAGUCGCCGCGGGAAUACAGAGGGUGCGAGCGUUAAUCGGAUUUACUGGGCGUAAAGCGUGCGUAGGCGGCUUCUUAAGUCGGAUGUGAAAUCCCUGAGCUUAACUUAGGAAUUGCAUUCGAUACUGGGAAGCUAGAGUAUGGGAGAGGAUGGUAGAAUUCCAGGUGUAGCGGUGAAAUGCGUAGAGAUCUGGAGGAAUACCAAUGGCGAAGGCAGCCAUCUGGCCUAAUACUGACGCUGAGGUACGAAAGCAUGGGGAGCAAACAGGAUUAGAUACCCCGGUAGUCCCUGUCUCUUAUAC